CCUACGGGAGGCAGCAGUGGGGAAUUUUGGACAAUGGGCGCAAGCCUGAUCCAGCAAUGCCGCGUGCAGGAUGAAGGCCUUCGGGUUGUAAACUGCUUUUGUACGGAACGAAACGGUUCGCUUUAAUACAGUGGGCUAAUGACGGUACCGUAAGAAUAAGCACCGGCUAACUACGUGCCAGCAGCCGCGGUAAUACGUAGGGUGCGAGCGUUAAUCGGAAUUACUGGGCGUAAAGCGUGCGCAGGCGGUUUUGUAAGACAGAUGUGAAAUCCCCGGGCUCAACCUGGGACCUGCAUUUGUGACUGCAAGGCUAGAGUACGGUAGAGGGGGAUGGAAUUCCGCGUGUAGCAGUGAAAUGCGUAGAUAUGCGGAGGAACACCGAUGGCGAAGGCAAUCCCCUGGACCUGUACUGACGCUCAUGCACGAAAGCGUGGGGAGCAAACAGGAUUAGAUACCCUGGUAGUCCACGCCCUAAACGAUGUCAACUGGUUGUUGGGUCUUCACUGACUCAGUAACGAAGCUAACGCGUGAAGUUGACCGCCUGGGGAGACGCGCGAGAGAACGACGAAGAAGUAGAGCGNGAGAGAGCGAGACGACGACGAGGGAGGAGG
This 611-nucleotide ribosomal RNA is filed under the name uncultured bacterium. RNAcentral's name for it is "bacterial SSU rRNA". The stretch from base 1 to 542 matches the Rfam family "Bacterial small subunit ribosomal RNA", at positions 338 to 873 of the family's 1533-position model. The record is from RNAcentral.